Molecule: transfer RNA, 71 nt
Filed under: Kinyongia fischeri (Fischer's chameleon)
Lineage: Eukaryota; Metazoa; Chordata; Lepidosauria; Squamata; Chamaeleonidae
Description: tRNA-His
Rfam family: tRNA
About the family: Transfer RNA (tRNA) molecules are approximately 80 nucleotides in length. Their secondary structure includes four short double-helical elements and three loops (D, anti-codon, and T loops).
Source: RNAcentral
GCUACAGUAAUUUAUUGUAAAAUAUUAGCCUGUGGAGCUAAAAACGGAACCGCCUUCUCUUCCCCGUAGCU